UCCGGUUCAUCACCGGCAGUUUCCUUAGAGUGCUCGACUUAACUCGUUAGCAACUAAGGACAAGGGUUGCGCUCGUUACGGGACUUAACCCAACAUCUCACAACACGAGCUGACGACAGCCAUGCAGCACCUGUCUCUGCGUUCCUUUCGGCACCCCAGCUGCUAAGCCAGGUUCGCAGGAUGUCAAGAGUAGGUAAGGUUCUUCGCGUUGCAUCGAAUUAAACCACAUGCUCCACCGCUUGUGCGGGCCCCCGUCAAUUCCUUUGAGUUUCAACCUUGCGGCCGUACUCCCCAGGCGGAAUACUUAUCGCGUUAGCUUCGAUACAGAAUAGUCUCCUAUCCCACAUCUAGUAUUCAUCGUUUACAGCGUGGACUAC
RNAcentral lists this unclassified non-coding RNA (377 nucleotides) under uncultured Gammaproteobacteria bacterium. RNAcentral describes it as "contains 16S-23S intergenic spacer region". The record is from RNAcentral. Lineage: Bacteria; Pseudomonadati; Pseudomonadota; Gammaproteobacteria.